Molecule: unclassified non-coding RNA, 2139 nt
Filed under: Cimex lectularius (bed bug)
Lineage: Eukaryota; Metazoa; Arthropoda; Insecta; Hemiptera; Cimicidae
Description: cREB-regulated transcription coactivator 1, transcript variant X11
Source: RNAcentral
GUUUAUACGACAAGCCUGUUUUUCGAUUAAUCGAAUACCCAACCCUAGAUAAUACUAAUCUAUGGCCUGACUCGGGUCUGACACAAAGACAAUUUCGAAAAACAACAACAUUAAUGUUUGGUUACGAGUGAAAAAAAGUUAUUUUUUCGAUAUGGCCAACCCUCGGAAGUUCAGUGAGAAAAUCGCUCUGCACAACCAGAAACAAGCGGAAGAGACGGCGGAGUUCGAGAAAAUAAUGAGGGAAGUCUCAGACGCAACAAACAAAGGUAGUGCUUAUAAAAGACAGCAACUACAUAUCAACCAGUGUCUUGGAACAUUUCGUGCUGGUUCGCUUCCAAAUGUUAACAAAGUCAUGAUGUCCGCUCAGUUGGAAAUUAAGUCCGCUUUAAGUUGUAUGGAUGAACUCAAAUCGCCGCAAGGGAAAAAUCACACGUACAGGGAGCGUCCAAGAAGUGCCGUCGGACCCAUGCGCUCGAGGCCAGCUGAAAAACGGAUAGACACAUCACCGUAUAGUGGACCAUACUUGUCGCCUCCUCCUGAUACACCAUGGCGCCGGACUCAUAGCGACUCUUCCCUGCACACAAGUUCACACGAUAGUAACACGUAUAGAAAAGGGACUCUUGAUUGCCAUACUCAGCUGGAUGACUAUGAAACUUCAAGGAGAUUAUGUUCUGCUUCACCUGAAGUUAGGCCGAGAUCAGCUGUGGAUAUGCCUCGUGUUCCUGGAAUAAGUAUUUAUCCAUCAACACAGGAGCCAGGAACGAUACAAAUUCCUAUCGGGAAUAACACAGGAUCCUUGCCAGACUUGACUAGUUUUCACUUUCCGUCUCCGCUCAAUACUCCACUCGACCAUGAGGAUCAUAACUCACAGUUUACACACGGUCGGCCUCAUAAUACUUACCAAUGGCACCAACUUGGCUAUCUCCCACCCAUUUCAUCCAUACAGCAGACUUAUAGUAAUCAGGGAGCACCAGCAAUUCAGACUGAAGCCAAUUCACAUCAAUCUACUUUAACAAGGACAAGUCCUCAACAUAUGCCUCAGUCUCUUACUGUUUAUAAAUUCAGCAGUUCAAGCCCUUGUAGCAGCUCACCUCAAAGCCCACCAUCACCAACCAAUGCUCAGUGUACCAUGAAUUCUAAUCCUGACCAUAAUAGUUAUUUUAUUGGCCAAACUAAUGCACUUCAACACCACUUUGAGCAAUUUUCUAUGAUAGACUCACCUGCUGGCAUUAAUUUGGAUUACAUUGGUUCUACCAACUCUUCUUUACAGACUGAUGAAAGUUGUCCGAAGACUCGAAAUCACGAGUUGACUCCUGAUCCUGGCUACUUUAGUACAUCGCCGUCUCAGCAUAAUGCUUAUGUCCGAGGAGCACCUGAAACAACAACACCCAAUACUCCGUCCAGUAUACCUGAUAUAAUCUUUACUGAUUUCUCAAACAGUGAUGAGCUUACCAAGGAUUUUGCAGUCACUAUGGUGGACUCCUUAGAUCAAGAUUUAUUUCCCUCUGAUGAGUGUUUAAGAGAGGGCUUAGAUCCGAUUGACUUUGAUGGUUUACAGAUGCUUACAGAUCCAGAAAUAAUAACAGAUCCUGCUACAGAAGACCACCUCAGACUAGAUAGACUUGAUGAGAACCUCGAUAACUUUGACGAUACACCAAUACUUGUUGCCAAAAUUAGGGGGAAUGAUUCAUCACAUGAUUGACCAGCAUUGUAGAUGUAUCCUCCUGCCAAUUUCCGGUAGCCAGGCUCCAUUUCUUAAACAGCACUAUUCUUCUCCCCAUAGCUUCACAUCUGGGAUUCUGUAUUUCUAUGUGUAGAAGCGCUUCCAACGUUGGAAGAAGAUCCUUUACUCCAGAAUGAAUAAUUCAUCUUGCCAUUUGAAACCAACGCACAUCUAUAUCUAAGGCCAUAUUUUUAAUACUCCAAUUAAGUGUGUAUUUAUAAUAAUUGUAUCAAAUACUUAACCAAGACGACCACAUUUACUGUAUUAUAGCUUGGUUAUACACUAUCGUGAUAGUUGAACAUUUUAUCUGUGUUUAAACACAAAUUUUGUUAUUAACCAACUGUUGUUGUAUAUUUAUUGGAAAUAGCAUUUGAUUUAUGCACGACAUUUACAAUUUUUUAUGUGUGUAUAUGUGU